Molecule: long non-coding RNA, 2331 nt
Filed under: Equus caballus (horse)
Lineage: Eukaryota; Metazoa; Chordata; Mammalia; Perissodactyla; Equidae
Description: lncRNA (ENSECAG00000060139.1)
Source: RNAcentral
CUCAUGUUCCUUCCAAUAAUUUGCUAGGAGGUGGACCUGUCAAUAGGAAGGACAAAAAUUAUUAUUUACCACCAAUGCCCUCAAAAUAAUUAUUACUUAGAAAAUCCAAAACAACCAGUUGGAAGUUUCAGAACUCAAUCAACCCUGCCCCCCAUCCGACCCCCUCUCAGUUUUGAUUUGCCCAAGGACUCCUCAUAGUUGGUCCAGCCCAAACCAGUAAGAAACAUUAAAAAAAUAAUAAUAAUUAAAACUGCUGUGUCAUGUUGAUCUGGGUUGCUGGGAUACAGUGGUUGGUAGUUGGGGAGGCCCAGCAAGACCAGUAUUUUAAACCAGUAGCCAGGAGCUCGGAUGAUGAGGUCACAGGAUGUGUCAGCUUCCAAGCUUUGUGCUCAUCUAAGGCAGUUAUCCUGAAAAACCUUGGAUUUAUUCAGUAGUAACCCUCUGUCGCUACUCCCUGAUCUAAUUAACCUGUCUACGACACAGUUUCUUCAUCUGUAAAGGGGGCUAAUAAAAACGCUUACUUGGUGUGUUAAUUGUGAGGCUUCAUCUAUGACAACGCAAUUCAAAGUGCUUUACACAUUGCAAAGCACUACUUACAUAUUAGUUACUCGUUUUCCUAAGUGCGGCCACUUUUACGGAGGAGGAAAGUGCGGCCCACCAAGAUCAAACGUCUUCCCGAGGUCUCACGGCCAUGAGGGCAGAGCUUGCUCCGUUACCUGCACCCAUCAAACCCUCCCCAAUUUUCAAAGCCUGGUUCAAGCACAAGUCUUCCUCAGCCUGUCGCAGGGGGCCAAGAGCCCCAUGUCCCAGGUUCGUAUCCCAGCGCUGCCUCUUCCACAAUCCUAGGACACAUGCCUGUGCCCUGUGUGCCUGGGCUGCCACCGCGGGACAGAAGGGGUGGUGACGGCGCCUGGCCAGCCUGGGUGCUUAAUAAUGGCAGUUACCCUUUGUCGGCACAGUGACCACUCCUUUCCUGUGUUCUCCCUGCGCCGCGGUUGCAAUAUAGCCGGGACACUUUGAGGGUCGGCGGGGCCAGGCACUGUAUAGUUGCUCCGGCCCAGCGCAGCCCCUUGCCUCAGAGUAACUAAGACAAAGCUGGGGGGCAGGUCUCGCCAUGCCCCUCCCCGACUGGGCGCAACCCCGGCGGGGCGUCCCAGCUCCACAGUUCUCCAGUCUCGCUGCCCGCUCUGCGCCCAGCGCCUCCCUCCCUGCACGGCGGUCGCUGACCCACCCAGGCUGGACCUCGCCGUCUAGCAGUGCCGGCGAGCCCGCGCCGCGUUCCCGCCACUCGGGCCGGGCUCGCACCGGCAGGGGCCGCAGCCUUCCAGCCCGGGCAGGGGGGGCGCGGGGCCGGGGGCGGGGCGGGGCGGGGCGGGGGGGGGGGGCCGGCAGUUGGCGCUCGGAACCGGCGCGCGCCGCCCGGCCACCUGACCUCUGGGCCCUGCCCCCCGCCCCGGGCCCGGAGUGGGCGGGGAUGGGAUGGGAUGGGGCGGGGGCGGGGCAGGUGGUGCGACCGCCUCUCUCCUCAGCCUGCACCCCCGCCCCCUACCACGGGAGCGCCAGGGUCAGGAGCUACCCAUUGUGAUCUCAUUUUGCAGAUGAGGCGCACUGAGGCCUGCCCAGAGUCACAGGGGCAGGCCGGGUGUCAAAGCGGUUAGCACCGCGCCAGCUCGUUGUCGGCGCCCGGAAGCGUUGGUCUCCUUUCCUUUGGAUCCUGUUGGAACGGAAGCUCUACGAGGGCAGGAACUCUGCCUGUGUCGUCGUCCCCUCCUCCCCCUUACCCGCCCCCCCGGCCCCCCUCGUUCACUGUUGUAUCCACAGUGCCCAGAGCACUGGCAGUGGGCACGCAGUAAAUUACUUGAAUGAGUAACUCUUACUCCGGCCCUUCUGUAACUCUCUCACCUCAACUCGAGUCACCCUGGCCGCUCCCCAAAGGUCUUAGAGAAUAACUGGGGGAAGGCCAGACAGAAGGGAGUGAUAUGAUACAGAAGAGAGCACCCAGCCUGCAAAUCACCGAUGCAGGGGAGUUACUCGAUCCGCUUUAAGUGCUGGGAGGCGGUAAACUCCAUGAGGACAGAGCUGUUCACCUGUUUCCUCCGAAUCCAGCACGGUGCCUGGCACAGUAGCCAUUAAAUAAAUAUUUGAUGAAUAAAAUGCUUUGCCAUGAGCAGAUUCUCUGCCUGUGAGAUUCAUGGUUCCACUUUUAUAAAAAUUAAUAAAAGAUCAAGCAACUCAUGAAGGUUAUUCUUCCCAGCUCAUUUACUCUUCUGGGUGCUGCCACUCUAGUGUCUAAUAGGAUCGUAAUAACUACCACUUACUGUGCCCAGUGCG